AUUGUCUGUUUCCUUUACUGGCUGUUGUAUGUGACUUGAUGUUGUCUGUUUCCUUUACUGUCUGUUAUAUGUGACUUGAUAUUGUCUGUUUCUUUGUAUGGAACAGGACAUUGAUUGUUGAAAUCUCCUUUACUUUGUGACUUUAAACAGAAGAGUUCCUUUGUUUGUGACCUGUACUUGGCUGAUUUAGGAAACUUGAUAGUGACUAUCAAUGUGUAUCAGCACAAUGUCACCAGAGCCUUCUCGUCGCCUGUAUUACUCUUUGUUGAUUGUUGGAUAAUGCAGGGAAUGCGGGAUACAUAAGGAGGAUCUUGGAUGUGCCGGAGAUGUACCAGGAAGCGGAGAGUUAAGUGGCUACAGAGCAGCACCAGCCAAGCCUUUGUCCCAUAAAGGCCAAGUGUAUAUGUACACAAUUCCCAGCAUAAUAUUGAUGAGAAAUAUUGCUCUUUGUCGAAGUUGUGGUGACUAACUAACGAUACCUGCCUCUUCACUCGCGCUGAUGUUGCUGCGCCUGCAAUGGGAUCAAUACCAAGCUUUAACAGAGGCACAAUAACAGGCAGGCUCCACUACAAACUCUAGCUACAAUAAAUCAGUUAAUUUGUGGACAAUCUCAACUCGUACAAUGAAAAGCUUUUACAUCGCCUGAUCUAUGACUGAUUAAUCAAAUUACCUAAAAGUCGAAAAUAUGCCAAUAACGCAUGGGAAACCGUGGCAUAUUACAGGAUGAUUCACAACUUACAAAAUCGGCAGCAUGUAAUGUGGAAAUGAUUGAUUGAGUCAAUUGAUAAUUACUAUUGUUCUGCUUUUGCUGGCUCAGCUAUACGUGAAAGAGGGAGGAAAAGGGAUGAACCACUUAACGCAUGAAAAUACAACAUGAAGAGCUAAUAAAUGUCAGCUAACCAGUGUGACAAGACUUGAUAUUGGGGAGAACUGUUAACACCGCUUGUUAUCACCUCGUUGGCCAAUCCCAAACUGGGGAUGUAUCCUAAACUAACGAGGUAGUAUUAAGUGAUGUUUGCCUCCACAAAUCAUCACUAUAAACAAACAGUGAAAUAUUUUUAUAACAAAUUUGAGAAAUUUGUAAUUGGUUUGAUAAUGAUUGUUUCUUGCUGAUGUAGAAAAGUCAUAUAACUGACGAAUUGCAGCUCACAAAAACACCAAGUGCAAUAUCCAACCUAGUUCAUUAUAUAUAACUGCAUUACUUAAAGAAUUAAUCUAUACAAGUGACUUCUUCAGUGAUUCAAGACUUGUUCAUGUCAAAUUAUAGAAAAUUUUGUCAGAUUUAAGCUUAAGAGACCCAAAUUAUUUGUUCAAGUGUUUUUUUUAUGUGUCUAACUGAAACAGCCAUGGCAAGGAAAUGAGGUGUAAACAUGUUCAAAAGUUGGGGUGUAAUCAUCUUUAUUCUACACCAAAUAGAGGAACAAGUUUUAUUAAUAUUUAUUCAAGUUUCUUGUUGGCCUGGAUGGCAGUGCACAGGAGGUAUUAAUAUGGGUGUAAACUGGAGUACCCAAAACAAAUGGCUGGACAAGUAACCUAAUUAUCUUUUCAUACCCAAAUAUGGAAUCAUAUCCUAAUCAUCUUGGUUAAAGCCGAGUUCACUAGUCUAUCCUCCACACCACCCGACUACCUUAGCUGUCUAGAUCGAUCUCCUCUUAUCAAAACAUAGUGUUGGGGCGGACACAGAUACCCUCCCAGCUACAGAUCUAGAGUGGUCAAGUAUGAUCUUUGACCCUUUAACCUUGACCAAUGACCAUAAUGUAUUCAGGUGUAGAACUUGGUGUUUCAAUACUGUUGUGUACAUAUGAACUGAAUCCAAUGAGGUAUUCAAGAGUUAUCUUUUACACCAGCUGUUUACUACAGACACAGGUAUGCAGACAAUGACAAAGUAAUUACUAUGUACCCCCGAGCCCUCAACUAAGGGAAGGGUAUCAAAUGAUGAUCUCCAAAACUGUGAUUAAGUUUUUAAGAUUUUUUUUUUUAUCUCUUAGAUAAUUAAAUUCAAUCUUGUUUAUGAUUUAAUUUGAUGGAUAUCAAUAUCAAACUCAGGUAUGAGGAGAAACCCAAGAAAUCCUCACUGACAGGAAGGUUUAUGAUAAAAUAAUUACAUAAUACUACUACAAGUUGCUUCUGUCAGAUUGUUUUUUCGAGGGAAUGCCGAGCUUGUAUCUUUUUUCCAAAUCAGCUACUGGGAGACCAAUUAUCUGUAAACAGAUAAGGUCUGUAUAGGAACAUCUUUGGCUUUUUUUUUAAACUAAGCAGACAGUGGAUUAUCAAUGAUGCAAUUUAGAACAACAACAUAUUAUUCCAAACUAUUUGGACUGAAGGUCAAAGGUCAAGGUUGCUUAUAUUUAGCUAUUUGAAAAAUAAGUGUUUUUUUCUCACAGGGUUAAUGUAUAUAUGCAUGUAAAAUUGUAACAUAUUGCUUGUUUGCUUAGAAUGACUGUUAAGUGGGAUCAACUACAUGUAUUAAGUUUACUUUGACUUCCUCCUCAGGAUUAGUGCUUAGGGGAACUUUUUUUGUUCCGUGAUGAUCCGGCCUUUACACAGUGGUUAAUUGGAUGACCAAGUGUUAAUUUAGCCGAUAAAAUGUCUGUUUAUAAUGUCACUGUAUUAUGUCACAAACUUUCAAGGGUGUGAAUACUGCCAUUGAUUUAGUAUUACUAUGACUCUGAACUUUUGUCAGCAUUCCAAGAAAUCCUUUGUCUACAUAUAAAAAAAAUCAGUAUUGGUGAAAAAAAUAUGACUGAGGUUUGAUGUUGGCCCUAAUUUUCCGUUUUGUUUGUGACCUAAAAAGAAAUCAAAAUAUUUUCCAGUUCCAAAAUAAACAGUGCUUGUAUACUUUGAAUUGACGUCGCUGUUACAGCACGCAAAGCACUGUCUGAGACUAUCUCCUGAAAACACUUUCAUUUCUUCAUGACCUUGUGUGUGUAUGCUGCUUGUCAGAGAAGGUCACAUUUGAAAUACCUUCAUAGGCAUGGUAGAAACGUUUGGCAGAUAUAACUCAAUGUAGAACUGAGUGCUGUGCCAGUCAGCGAGGAAGUGAGGCAAUGCUAGCCUAUGAAAUAUUCAUGACAUCAACUAACAUGAUAGAGGUCUGUGUAUGAAAAAAUAUCAAUUAUUGAAAAUAAGAGUGUAGACAGAAAAUCAAAGGUCGUUGCUAGGCAUCAAGCAUGAUUCUUAACUGUAAUGCAAUCUUGACAAUCAACUGCAGGAUGUUUUUGUUUUUCCCAAACACAUUUGUUUUCGGCUGUGUGUUUACAUGUUAUACUCAGAAGUUACGAGAUUGUCAGAAGAAUACAAAAAGGAAUCUUAUAAAAAAUUUAAAUAUUG
Mizuhopecten yessoensis (Yesso scallop) is the source of this 3330-nucleotide long non-coding RNA. RefSeq lists it as uncharacterized. The transcript is spliced from 2 exons. NCBI's taxonomy places the organism in Eukaryota, Metazoa, Mollusca, Bivalvia, Pectinida, Pectinidae. The record is from RefSeq and is a predicted model, not a curated record.